RNAcentral lists this ribosomal RNA (505 nucleotides) under uncultured bacterium. RNAcentral's name for it is "partial 16S ribosomal RNA". It matches the Rfam family "Bacterial small subunit ribosomal RNA", at positions 28 to 523 of the family's 1533-position model. The record is from RNAcentral.
GACGAACGCUGGCGGCGUGCCUAACACAUGCAAGUCGAACGGAGAUAUUUGCUAUAGCAUCUUAGUGGCGGACGGGUGAGUAACGCGUGGGCAACAUGCCUUCGACCGGGGGGGAACCCAGGGAAAACUGUGCUAAUACCGCAUAAAGCCUGGGCUGGGCACAGUGCGAGGUAAUUGGGAAAAACCGUGAAACAUCGCAAGGUGAAGAACGGCCGGUAUAAGAUGGGCCGGCGUACGAUUAGCUGGUGGGAGGUGUAACGGAGCACCGAGGCGACGAUCGAUAGCCGUGCUGAGAGGUUGAACGGCCACAUUGGGACUGAGACACGGCCCAGACUCCUACGGGAGGCAGCAGUGGGGAAUAGUGCGCAAUGGGGGGAAGCCUAACGCAGCAACGCCGCGUGAAGGAUGAAGGUUUUCGGAUUGUAAACUUCUUUGACGGGGGACGAAGAGAUGACGGUACCCCGGGAACAAGCAACGGCUAACUACGUGCCAGCAGCCGCGGUAA